UACAGAGGUCCCAAGCGUUGUUCGGAUUUACUGGGCGUAAAGGGUGCGUAGGUGGCGGGGUAAGUCGGAUGUGAAAUCUCCGAGCUCAACUCGGAAAAUGCAUUGGAAACUACCUUGCUCGAGGGUUGGAGGGGGGACUGGAAUACUUGGUGUAGCAGUGAAAUGCGUAGAUAUCAAGUGGAACGCCAGUGGCGAAAGCGAGUCCCUGGACAACUCCUGACACUGAGGCACGAAAGCUAGGGGAGCAAACAGG
Molecule: ribosomal RNA, 253 nt
Filed under: uncultured bacterium
Lineage: Bacteria
Description: partial 16S ribosomal RNA
Rfam family: Bacterial small subunit ribosomal RNA
Source: RNAcentral